This 493-nucleotide ribosomal RNA is filed under the name uncultured bacterium. RNAcentral's name for it is "partial 16S ribosomal RNA". It matches the Rfam family "Bacterial small subunit ribosomal RNA", at positions 30 to 523 of the family's 1533-position model. The record is from RNAcentral.
AUUGAACGCUGGCGGCAUGCUUUACACAUGCAAGUCGAACGGUAACAGGUUAAGCUGACGAGUGGCGAACGGGUGAGUAAUGCAUCGGAACGUGCCCGAUCGUGGGGGAUAACGCAGCGAAAGCUGCGCUAAUACCGCAUACGAUCUGAGGAUGAAAGCGGGGGACCGUAAGGCCUCGCGCGAUCGGAGCGGCCGAUGUCAGAUUAGGUAGUUGGUGGGGUAAAGGCUCACCAAGCCAACGAUCUGUAGCUGGUCUGAGAGGACGACCAGCCACACUGGGACUGAGACACGGCCCAGACUCCUACGGGAGGCAGCAGUGGGGAAUUUUGGACAAUGGGCGAAAGCCUGAUCCAGCAAUGCCGCGUGCAGGAAGAAGGCCUUCGGGUUGUAAACUGCUUUUGUACGGAGCGAAAAGGCCCUCUCUAAUACAGGGGGUUUAUGACGGUACCGUAAGAAUAAGCACCGGCUAACUACGUGCCAGCCGCCGCGGUAA